UCCUGCGUGGUGUAGUGGUUAACACAUUUGCUUGGAAAGCAAAGGUUACUGUUUCAGUUCUAGCCAGAGGUACAAAUCCACUUUCAGGGU
Molecule: transfer RNA, 90 nt
Filed under: Oreochromis niloticus (Nile tilapia)
Lineage: Eukaryota; Metazoa; Chordata; Actinopteri; Cichliformes; Cichlidae
Also listed under: 1 other name
Rfam family: tRNA
About the family: Transfer RNA (tRNA) molecules are approximately 80 nucleotides in length. Their secondary structure includes four short double-helical elements and three loops (D, anti-codon, and T loops).
Source: Rfam by way of RNAcentral